GGUUGUGUAGUGUAGCGGUUAUCACCUUGGAUUCUGACUAUUUCCAAUAACCCCGGUUCGAUUCCGGGCACGACCU
Molecule: transfer RNA, 76 nt
Filed under: Yarrowia sp. B02
Lineage: Eukaryota; Fungi; Ascomycota; Dipodascomycetes; Dipodascales
Description: tRNA-Gln
Rfam family: tRNA
About the family: Transfer RNA (tRNA) molecules are approximately 80 nucleotides in length.
Source: RNAcentral